UCGAGGAUCUUCGGCAAUGGGCGCAAGCCUGACCGAGCGACGCCGCGUGUGCGAUGAAGGCCUUCGGGUUGUAAAGCACUUUCGGGGUGGAGGAAAGCCCGCAAGGGUUUGACCUAUACCCAGAAGAAGCACGGGCUAAGUUCGUGCCAGCAGCCGCGGUAAGACGAACCGUGCGAACGUUGUUCGGAUUCACUGGGCUUAAAGGGCGCGUAGGCGGAUACCCAAGUCCGGGGUGAAAUCUUUCGGCUCAACCGGAAAACUGCCUUGGAUACUGGGUGUCUGGAGGGAGGUAGGGGCAUGCGGAACUUCCGGUGGAGCGGUGAAAUGCGUAGAUAUCGGAAGGAACGCCGGUGGCGAAAGCGGCGUGCUGGACCUCUUCUGACGCUGAGGCGCGAAAGCCAGGGGAGCAAACGGGAUUAGAUACCCCCGUAGUCC
RNAcentral lists this ribosomal RNA (435 nucleotides) under uncultured bacterium. Its description in RNAcentral is "bacterial SSU rRNA". It matches the Rfam family "Bacterial small subunit ribosomal RNA", at positions 355 to 796 of the family's 1533-position model. The record is from RNAcentral.